RNAcentral lists this ribosomal RNA (380 nucleotides) under uncultured eukaryote. RNAcentral's name for it is "partial 18S ribosomal RNA". It matches the Rfam family "Eukaryotic small subunit ribosomal RNA", at positions 592 to 976 of the family's 1831-position model. The record is from RNAcentral.
CAAUAGCGUAUAUUAAAGUUGUUGCGGUUAAAAAGCUCGUAGUUGGAUUUCUGCCGAGGACGACCGGUCCGCCCUCUGGGUGUGUAUCUGGUUUGGCCUGGGCAUCUUCUUGGAGAACGUAGCUGCACUUGACUGUGUGGUGCGGUGUCCAGGACUUUUACUUUGAGGAAAUUAGAGUGUUUCAAGCAGGCACACGCCUUGAAUACAUUAGCAUGGAAUAAUAAGAUAGGACCUCGGUUCUAUUUUGUUGGUUUCUAGAGCUGAGGUAAUGAUUAAUAGGGAUAGUUGGGGGCAUUAGUAUUCAGUUGCUAGAGGUGAAAUUCUUGGAUUUACUGAAGACUAACUACUGCGAAAGCAUUUGCCAAGGAUGUUUUCAUUAA